AUAUGUUUAUUGAUGUCAAGGCGAUAGUACGUACAUUAUCCUAAAUAUAGUUUAACUUAAGAAAUGUGCCAACAAAAUCGCUGUUUGACAUUUAUAAUCAUAUUUAUUUUAAAGUUUAUACCAAAAAUGUGCAUGGAUUAUUUAAUACUACCUAAUGGCGACUGCUAAUAACUACUGUGCUGUUCUGUUGCAAUGUUUCCAAACUGUUGCGUGGAUAAUAACAGAGUGAGGGUCUGGUCUAUAAAACUCCUUCUAGCAUUGUCGAGACGCGUAAAAAGGAUAGUUCAGAGUCAUGGGGAAGGUCGACUUCGUUAGCAGCAGAAGCGAGGAUGUCAGGUGUGUACGAGGAGAAGUACACCGAGACGUUACAGGCAUGACGCGAUGAACUGGAAGAAAAUGUUGAAGAUAUUGCGCUAUUGGGAAACCGAGAUUGGUGUUCGUGUGCAACUGCAGACCAUGGGCAUGGUAAAACUUACUAAAAGCAAGUAUCUGCUGUUUGGAAAUCGACUAAAUCGGCGACAAAAUGCAAAGUAACAACUUACAGUGCAUUGUUGAACAUUAUGAUCUCCCGAUUCUGUUUGUAUUCAGAAGUCGCCAGGACAGCACUUCUAGCCAGAGCAGACAAACGACGCGAUAAUUACCGCUACCAAAUAGGACUUUCAGGCAUCAAGCCUAUCAACAGUUUACCUACUGGAUUCAAAACAGACUUGGGCGAUAUGUAUAGCGAGUUAUUCCUGCUCAUGUGAAGUAUAUGUUGGGUUUACCGAAGCAGAUGUUUGAUCCAAAUGGAUAGCUGGGUGUAGUAUUGACACUAAAUACAAUUAUAGCACAACCUUCCUUGGUCAAAACUUGUAUAAGUCGGGGAAAAAAUAAAGCAGUUUAAUUUAA
This is a long non-coding RNA of Gigantopelta aegis, 888 nucleotides long. RefSeq lists it as uncharacterized. Lineage: Eukaryota; Metazoa; Mollusca; Gastropoda; Neomphalida; Peltospiridae. The record is from RefSeq and is a predicted model, not a curated record. The transcript is spliced from 4 exons.